GGCUUUUUUAGAGUAGCANUACUUUGAAAAAGCUAGUGGCNAACGGGUGCGUANCACGUGGAACAAUCUACCUUUAAGGUGGGGAAUAUCUCGUCGAAAGGCGCAAUUAAUACCGCAUGUGGUCAGGCUUCGCAUGAAGCCUGAACUAAAGUCNNGGACCGCAAGGCCUGACNCUUAUAGAGGAGUUCGCGGCCUAUCAGCUANCUUGGCGAGGUUAUGGCUCACCANGGCUAAAACGGGUAGCUGGUCUGANAGGAUGAUCAGCCACACUGGAACUGAGACACGGUCCAGACACCUACAGGUGGCAGCAGUUUCGAAUCAUUCACAAUGGGCGAAAGCCUGAUGGUGCGACGCCNCGUGAGGGAUGACGGCCUUCGGGUUGUAAACCUCUGUCACC
This 397-nucleotide ribosomal RNA is filed under the name uncultured Opitutales bacterium. RNAcentral's name for it is "partial 16S ribosomal RNA". It matches the Rfam family "Bacterial small subunit ribosomal RNA", at positions 65 to 440 of the family's 1533-position model. The record is from RNAcentral. Lineage: Bacteria; Pseudomonadati; Verrucomicrobiota; Opitutia; Opitutales.